GACAGCGUGGCGUAAUGGUUUGAGUGUUGGACUAUGACUCUGGAGACCAGGGUUCGAUACCCGGCUUAGCUA
Non-coding RNA from Phrynosoma platyrhinos (Desert horned lizard), 72 nucleotides. Lineage: Eukaryota; Metazoa; Chordata; Lepidosauria; Squamata; Phrynosomatidae. The record is from the annotation of a GenBank genome assembly.